Molecule: ribosomal RNA, 217 nt
Filed under: uncultured bacterium
Lineage: Bacteria
Description: partial 16S ribosomal RNA
Rfam family: Bacterial small subunit ribosomal RNA
Source: RNAcentral
UAUCGGAACGUGCCCAGUCGUGGGGGAUAACGCAGCGAAAGCUGUGCUAAUACCGCAUACGAUCUACGGAUGAAAGCGGGGGACUCGUAAGGGCCUCGCGCGAUUGGAGCGGCCGAUAUCAGAUUAGCUAGUUGGCGGGGUAAAAGCCCACCAAGGCGACGAUCUGUAGCUGGUCUGAGAGGACGACCAGCCACACUGGAACUGAGACACGGUCCAG